GCCGCGGUAAAACCAGCACCUCAAGUGGUCAGGAUGAUUAUUGGGCCUAAAGCAUCCGUAGCCGGCUUUGUUAGUUUUCGGUUAAAUCCAUGUGCUCAACGCAUGGGCUGCCGAAAAUACUGCAUGGCUAGGGAGUGGGAGAGGUAGACGGUACUCAGUAGGAAGGGGUAAAAUCCUUUGAUCUAUUGAUGACCACCUGUGGCGAAGGCGGUCUACCAGAACACGUUCGACGGUGAGGGAUGAAAGCUGGGGGAGCAAACCGGAUUAGAUACCCGGGUAGUCCCAGCUGUAAACGAUGCAGACUCGAUGAUGCAUUGGCAUAAUAGCCAGUGCAGUGUCGCAGGGAAGCCGUUAAGUCUGCCGCCUGGGAAGUACGUACGCAAGUAUGAAACUUAAAGGAAUUGGCGGGGGAGCA
This 415-nucleotide ribosomal RNA is filed under the name crenarchaeote SCGC AAA288-D18. RNAcentral's name for it is "SSU rRNA". It matches the Rfam family "Archaeal small subunit ribosomal RNA", at positions 464 to 878 of the family's 1478-position model. Lineage: Archaea; Thermoproteati; Thermoproteota. The record is from RNAcentral.